UUCCAAUACAAAUCCUAUAGUGCCCUCCUUAGGGAUACUUAAAAGCCUGCUUCUAUUUUACUUAUUUCAAAACCAGUGAGUGACUUAGAAGGUCUUCUCUUUUAUUGCAGAUGCGCAGGGCAGCUUCUGAAGAUCAGCAGGCCUGUGCAGCAUCAUCUGAGGGGCCCCAGAAUUAAAGCAACAUGAAACUCUUCAUACUGAGCAUGGCCACUUCCCACUGACCAUGACUCACAAAUGAUGACUACUGGGGGACUAACAGCUGUUUAAAUGCAACAGUAUUAUGACCUUCUGCCAGUCAUAGGUAACACUGUUAUUGCCCCAAGAUAAUUUACUCUCCCAAGUCUCAAGGUUACAUUUCCAUCAUGGAGCCAGUAUUUUCCCUUCCUCAGAUGUUUCUAAUGAUAGCUUUCAGAUGACAUUCCUCCUAUUUGGUCCAGCCUCAGAAUCUCCUCCUACACAGCACAUUUGACCUCUUCCUAUGAGUAUUCAGGCCAUACUCACAGGUGGGAAUUGAAGGGUGAGUACACACUACUAUGUGGUGUUUUUUUCUUUUUAGGCUAAUAUUAUGUUUAAUAAAUGGGA
RNAcentral lists this long non-coding RNA (582 nucleotides) under Rhinopithecus bieti (black snub-nosed monkey). RNAcentral describes it as "lncRNA (ENSRBIG00000046436.1)". Lineage: Eukaryota; Metazoa; Chordata; Mammalia; Primates; Cercopithecidae. The record is from RNAcentral.